UUUUUCUUUUCUUUUUUUUUCCUGUUUUUUUUUGUUUGUUUGUUUGUUUGUUUUUUUGUCUUUUGUCUUUUGUUGUUGUUGUUGUUGUUGCUAUUUCUUGGGCCGCUCCCGCGGCAUAUGGAGGUUCCCAGGCUAGGGGUUGAAUCGCAGCUGUAGCCACCGGCCUACGCCAGAGCCACAGCAACUCGGGAUCCGAGCCGCAUCUGCAACCUACACCACAGCUCACGGCAACGCCGGAUCGUUAACCCACUGAGCAAGGGAAGGGACCGAACCCGCAACCUCAUGGUUCCUAGCCGGAUUCGUUAACCACUGCGCCACGACGGGAACUCCUUUUUUCCUGUUUUUUAUUUAUUUACUUUCUUUAAGGGCCACCUGCAGCAUAACAGCAAUGCCUGAUCCUUAACCCACUGAGGGAGGCCCGGGAUUGAACCCGAAUCCUCACAGAUACUAUGCUGGGUUCUUAACCCACUAAGCCACAACAGAAACUCCAAGUCUUUAAUGUUUUACCUCUGGAGCCGAAAUUAAGAAAUUAUGCAUGUUUGUGUAUGCAUGAAUACUCGUGCCAGCUUUUAGAAACGGAUUCUCCGCCUCCCGUCUCCUGGCCCCUCUAAAGAGCCUAACACCUUGAUUCGAUUUGGAAAUGUAUCUCGGCAAAAAGUUCUCCUCACCCGCCCAAGUGAGAACCAAGUCCCCACAGGAAAUGGUUAGAAAUCAGACCCGCGAGGGGAGAUUAUUCCAUCUACCGAGGCAGUGCUGGUGCUACUGCUGACACCGUUUUGUUGACAGUUACCCUGGAAUGUGAGAACCCACGCUGGCCGCUGGGGAAAUAAGACAAGCCAAGUUCUACCUGAUGAUCGGCUGACGUGUUCUUGCAGAAUGGCAGUGACAGCACAGCUAGAACCCAUUUCAUUUUCAGACGAAAACAAAGUUUUGUUCCUGCAGUAGUGAGGAAUAACAACAGGCUUCCAGCGGGUAAGGCGAGGGUGGUAUCAAGGUUUUAUUUAGCAACGAGCACUAAAAAUAGUCCCCCAGAGACGUGAGCCCAUGGGUAACAGCUUUGACAGAAAGGCCCUGGGGUACUUCUAGUUCUUACUCAUUGAUUCAUGUUCUUCUUGAGAAAAAAACGAAAACUUUUUAACAAAAAAACACAGCGACCUUGGAGUGUGCAGACACCGUCAAGGUGCAUCUUCUCUUUCUCUUCGCCGCCGCGAGCUUUGCCCCCGCACCGACCCCCUUCCUGUCUUAGCAGCAAACUGAUCAAAUCGUGACUGCGGGACCUGAGAACAAAACUCCAGGUACUGAGGACUCCAUGGAAGGUUCACCCCCUGUGCUGAUUCCCAGUUCUUCUCCAUGGAAACGGCUUCAUUUUUUCCCCAACGAAUAGUCACUGGCAGGUGACACUGUAAACGGAAUAAACUUUUGCCUAAGGUUUGUUGUACACAUUCAAAGUCCUCCAAGUGACCUCAUCAACAUGUCCCAGAGCUGAGAACACCUCAAGGUUUCCAGGGCUAAAAAUUUGCUAACAUUUCUAAGGCACUCAUAGACUGAAUAUGGCACAUCACGGAUGUAUCUUAAGAAGUCAUCUUUUAUUACGGAGAAAAGCAUACUUUUGCAAAAAGGAAAGGAAACAAGUCAUAAAUCCACGGUAAAAGUAUACUGACAGGGGGAGUUCCUUUGUGGCACAGUGGGUUAAAGAUCUGGCCUUGUCACUGCAGCAGCCUGAGUCGCAGCCAUGGGGUGGGUUUGAUUCCGGCCUGGGAAUUUCCACACACUGUGGGCACAGCCCGCACACAAAACAGUACAUGGAUAGGUAUUUUUCUUUUUUUAACAAACAAAUACUGAUUGAGAUUCAAUGGAUCCACGUGCAGGGGAGGGGCAGCUGCAGAGCGUCUGAAAAUAUAUGCUGCAGCCAGCUAACAUUCCACAAGAAUUUACAGUCUGGGGUGGAGGAGAUUCAAAUGGAUGAAAGGUUAAUUCUACUGUAAGGUAACAUCAUUUAGGAGACAAGACUAUGUAUUUGAAUCCAAGUCACACGAAUUUUAGCUGGUGGCCUUCAUUUAAAUUCUUCGAGAGGUUUCCUCAUCCCUAAGGUGAGGACAGGAAUAGUGCCUUUCUCAUGGGGUUUGAGGAGGAAGGCGGAAAAUGCUCUUAGCACAAGGCCUGGCACGUGGUGAGCACUCAGGAAAGGCUGUCUCUGGCACAUGGUGCAAAGUAUGUACUGCAGACAGGUCAUGAGAGCCUGGAACCGGAGAGGAGGCACAAUGAAAGACAGCAAGGGACCGUCACACCCGAGAGAGACCACUUCGACAGGCGCUUGGAAGAGUCUUAGGACAAGGAUGGGCAGAGGGCCGUCCUAUUACAGGCUGUUGGGAUGGAGCAGAGGAAGGACAGACAUGUCAUGUCUGCUGGACCAGCCUGACUAGAGCAGAAGGUGUGCAAUGAAGGGUCCUAGGACAUAAGAUUGGAAAAGGAAGUGGAGGCCAAAUGCUGAGGAACUCUGAACAAAAAGCAACAUCACCUUGACUUUGUUGGUAGCGGGGAGUGAUGAGAGGUUGCUGCCAUUGCAUGUUUACCAAAAACAGCGACAUGAACUUAUCAAAUGUAUCCUUUGACAACAAACCCUGGAGAAUAAGAUCCAGGAUAGUGAUGAGAGAAACGGACCUGUUCAGAAGGGUGUAUAGAAUUCCUAAACCAAGCAUCACAGGCAUAUCCCUGCUCUGGUCUCGGUCUAUUUUCAGAUAGAUGUACUUUCAGUGGAAAAGGUGAUAGUUGUUCUGCUUUUACCUAAGAAGCAAACAUGUCUGGCCCACUGAGGUCUCUAAGCAGGACAGAAUAACACAGUGGUAAACAAAACUACUGCGUCAAUCACGUGCCUGGCCUUCAAAAAAUGUCUGCAGAUGACAUCGCUGUGACUACAAGCCUGCUGUCGUCAGAUCUCUUAGUUAGGUGAGCACACCAAAUUACACCUCAUAAUACUUAACGCAGAGGGAUUGGAGGGCAUACCGAAGAUUCCUAUACAGUUCACGCCCUCCGGAAUAUUGAAAACAGAAGUAGACUAAUAGAAGUUUUCAUUUGAAAGUUCCAGAACUCUUAAAAACUUCAAAACCUAAUGCAGGUUUCCAUGUACACCGUUUUAGAUUUUAAAAUACACUGUUGGCUUUUUUCUGUGACUAAAUAUUACAGAACAGCAAGCACAGCCUAUACGCCCUUCUUCAGACAUCGUACGGAGAUAAGUGAGUCAUUUUAGUCUUGGUAGAAAUUUCUCUAUUACCCUAGAAUAAAAGUUAGUAGUGGACAUGGAGAAGUAUGGAUCCUCUCUGACCUGCAUUUAUUCCUCUCUUUUCCUUCAGUGUAGAUAUGGCUCAGGACCAAAUCUAAAAAAAAUUACGUGAAGCAUAUAUAAAUAUAGAUAUAGGAAAGCAUUUAUCAUCUUUUACCAAAGAAUAGCUUUCAACUCCAAAGACCAGUGUUUCGCAGCUGGGAAUUAUAACAGCAAAGGUUAGAAGUGGCCAGAGACAAAGCUGUGGAGCAAGCUGUGUGGGGUGUUUUCAGCCCCUCGGAUCCCACGAGGCAGCCUCCUCAAAGAACAGGGCUGCAUUUUACAGCACCCAGCUCCUCACUGCAAAGAGCCUUGUGCUCAGAAAACAGGUUUCUGCCUUUCUUUCCAUCAGCCCCAGUGAAGCCAAGUCUCUGUAGUCCGUCUGAUGAAUUACGAAUGCGCCUGAGAAUCAAAAGAAUGAUGACGAUAUGAGUCACACCUUCGGGGGCCUGGGGACCGAGGGGUCCAUGUGAUGAGACACUUUCAGGGAGAGCAUUUAACGGCUGCCUCUACCGACAGAAGGGACUGGGGAGACACGCUUCCCCACCGAAUCCCUGAGUCAGGUCAUUCAGGCAACCAGUCAGCCCACCAGGGAGGUCGCCCUGCCUGAGGAUAAGGGGUGCCUGUCCCCAGGGGCCGGUCCAGCACUGUGGAAAGGAGUAUCGCUGAUUCCUCAACUCCGGGCCCAGAGUGCUACGCAGAGCACUGUGUGAGCUAAUUCCGGGCUGCAGUUCUCCCCUGGCUGCCUGGUGCCACGGUGACCCUCGGCUACCAAGCCUGGGAAAGCGUUGCUGUGACGAAUGCAAGGGCAGGGUCAGCUCGGAAUCUUAUUUCAGUUCCCUUCCACCUGGACGGCCAACACCUCGGCCCAUCCCUGGCAGGGCUGGUGUGUGUCGUGCUAUGCGACAAAGGCGGAGCUCCACUGAUGCAGGAUAAGAAGUGACCCUUACUCUCCUGACCCACAGCAACUCCCACCCCCGAGGGCCCCCCCACCCGCCCACAGGUGUGCUCCGAGCCCCAGCAGCACAGGAACCCUGGAAGAGGCGGUGCAGGAGAGCCGUCACCUGGCAGAGGUCACUUCAACAGCCCUAAUCUUAAAAUAAAAUAAAAUGUUACUAGCCUGAAAACUUCUUGAGUGCAAGGAUUAUGUUUUAUAAUCCAUUGUAACAUUCAGCAUAAGCCCUAUAGCUAAUGUUUAUUGAGCAAAUAAGUGAAAAAUUAAAAAGACUGGGAAAGGAAUGCUGCUGAGAGCAGUUAGACCUACUGAACUGUGAUUUUUAAACUGGUUUAGCAUCAGGAUCUUUGAUGCCACUGAAAGCUUCUGUUGGUUGGUCAAAGGGUAAAACGGAGAAAGAGCAACUGACUGAAGCUUUUGGGAAAAGGAGGAGCCAGGCACUGCCUGCGCUUCUCCCCCACCCCGCCCCCCUUUACCAGCUGCCGGAGCCACCGCCCUGAGAGCACGGGGCUUUCUCAGCGCACAGAGUAAACACAAGCACAUGCGACGUUCAAUGCCGAAACUGCAAGGAUAAAAUUUACCAGGUUUAUUAUUGCAAUUCUCACACAGACCAUAGGUUCUGGCACAUGGUAGGUGCUCAGUAAACAUGAAUAAAUGAGUAGAGGAUUGUCGCAUUUAAAUAAACCACUCAAGGAAAUGAGGUAAGGUUUAAAAAGACUCAACAGUGACAACACCACGUUUGAGGGGCAGGGGUCCUGCCUGCGGCAUGUGGAAGUUCCUGGGCCAGAUGUGGUACCCACGCCACAGCUGUGACACCAACCCCUGAAGUGACAAUGCCACAUCCUUAACGCAGGGCUCCACAAGAGAAUGGCUAUAAAGGCUCAGUAGUGAUCAACUUACUCAUCCUAGCAUCCAUAUAAAAUCACCUUUAUGGAGUUCCCGUCGUGGCUCAUUUUUAUUGCUUUUAAGAGAUAGACAUUCUCUACCUCUUGAUCUUGGUUGUAGCUGCAAUAUUCAAAAGUUAUAUUUGUGACAUGUUACAAGGUAUACACUUAAGAUUUGAAUUUUUUUACCCUAUGUUAAUAAUACCACUAUAAGAAUAUGUUCACAUCUUAAAGCAGCUAGAUCUUUGCAAAGCUGACCUGGGUUCUCAGUUGCUGUAGAUAUAAAAGAGUGAUGGCAAUGCUGUCUCCUCCUCAUGGUUGUGGGAUUUACGUAACCACAUGAAGAGCUAUUUCCUGCCCAAUAAAAAUUUCCUAUAUAAAACAGGUGGCACUGAUGUUGAGAAACAAAGGUUAAGCCCAUUGUGAUUACUUUGAAGGGUUUGGGAAUCUGGGCAAGGCUAUGGCUCCCUCCCUGCCUCCCUGCUCCUGGCUGUGGUGUGAGUACUGCUCCAACCCGAUCCACUACCUACGCCGCCAAGAAGAGCUGGCCUGACCCUGACGCGCCCAGGGGUGUGAGGGUACUCUGUGGCAGUGCUGAGACCGACCUCUGAACACUGGCCAGGGCGCCAGGAACCCGCUGUUGGCCUUUCCGGAAAGCAGCCACCGGCUUCCUGAGCCUACUCUUAAUUACAGUGUGGACCUUCAACGGAAAACCCCUUUAUCCCCAGGUUUGUGUCUGGAUGGUUCUCUGGGCCUUUCCCCUUGUAUUCCCACUCCUUUGUCCCAAAGAUAAAGGGACUGCAACCUAAGAAGAAGCUAUCCAGGUGACAAAGCGUCUCCCCUUCAUUUUGAGACCAGGAACGGGGACUGGGCAAGCAACUGUGUGCUGAACACUAGAUUAUGUUUCAGGCUUUAAUACAGACAUUUGCCAUCACAGUCUGAUGAGUAAUAUUAGCGAUUUUUUUUUUUUUUGCUUUUUUUU
RNAcentral lists this long non-coding RNA (6140 nucleotides) under Sus scrofa (pig). RNAcentral's name for it is "lncRNA (ENSSSCG00050059864.1)". Lineage: Eukaryota; Metazoa; Chordata; Mammalia; Artiodactyla; Suidae. The record is from RNAcentral.